CAGCAGCCGCGGUAAUACGAAGGGUGCAAGCGUUAAUCGGAAUUACUGGGCGUAAAGCGUGCGUAGGCGGUUUGUUAAGUCUGUUGUGAAAUCCCCGGGCUCAACCUGGGAACGGCAAUGGAUACUGGCAAGCUAGAGUGUGUCAGAGGAUGGUGGAAUUCCCGGUGUAGCGGUGAAAUGCGUAGAGAUCGGGAGGAACAUCAGUGGCGAAGGCGGCCAUCUGGGACAACACUGACGCUGAGGCACGAAAGCGUGGGGAGUAAACAGGAUUAGAUACCCCAGUAGUCCCUGUCUCUUAUAC
RNAcentral lists this ribosomal RNA (301 nucleotides) under uncultured bacterium. RNAcentral's name for it is "partial 16S ribosomal RNA". It matches the Rfam family "Bacterial small subunit ribosomal RNA", at positions 509 to 807 of the family's 1533-position model. The record is from RNAcentral.